This 8608-nucleotide long non-coding RNA is filed under the name Equus asinus (donkey). Its description in RNAcentral is "lncRNA (ENSEASG00005038127.1)". Lineage: Eukaryota; Metazoa; Chordata; Mammalia; Perissodactyla; Equidae. The record is from RNAcentral.
UAUCAUAGGAGUAGCAUUGCAAUAAGCAGCUAACACCCUUAAUGCUACAGAAACCAAGGAAAGAGGUUGGAAUUAUUAAAACUUAAAAGUUUAGAGAAAACUCCAUGUAGAGCUAAAAUCUAGACUUCUGAGGAAUAGGCGCUGAGGGGGCCGCAGUCAGUUGCUGCUGGUGUCUCUGAGGGUAUUGGAGGCAAAUUAAGUUCAUUCUGCUACUGCUGGGAAGUCUGCAAACUAGAUUCAGCUGCUUCUACAAGCAGGCACUGCUGCUGCCAGGGUGAAGAAGCAUUGUUGGGGUGAUGCUCACAGGAACCACAAGGAGACAGGAAGCAGACAGGAAGUGGGGAGACACUUGGACAAUAAGCAACCAUCAUCUGGGUGUGGCUCCGUUUGGUGCUUGACGACUCACUCGUCUCCCUCUGCUGGCCGAAUGAAGCAACGCGUCACCAUGUCCGAAGGCCUUUAGAGCAUGUCUCAAUUAUACGUGGAAGCACGAAAACCAGGCUGCUUUCCUAAGAAGCGUCCUCAAUACCUUGUUUCUUCUGCAUUUUAUUUGCUUUACCCAUGUACAUAGUACAGGGCUGUUUGACUGAAAGAGGAUCACAGAUGUUUUGCUUCUAUAGUAUUACAAGGGGUUAAUUAGAAAUUAACGAUUUAAAAUUGGCCCCCAAAUCUGAAAGCAGAACCAAAAAGGUGGCUGUUUCUCCUAGGUUAAAAGCCAGAGUUAAAUUGCUCAUUUAAGUGUUUAGUUUCAGUAGAGCAUAAAGCCCUGGAAAAAAGCCAAUUAUAACAGUAGAUCUGAAAAAAGCUAUUUUUAUUCUCAAGAGGGGAAAGGCUGGCCUUGCCUAAGUGAGUCCGUAAUCUGAGAAAGACGGGGGUUUGGGCUAAGAUAAUCUUUGAAAGGUUCGUAAAAAACGUGAAGCCAUUGAUUGAAUUCGUUUUCAUGAGAUUUAAAAAUCUUCAGUAAUUACUGUGGGAAGAAAAAGCGGUGUCUGCUCUUUUGAGGUCAAGUAACCCAGACCGCCUUCUCGUGGUUAGAUCAGCUCUCACUGUGGGGUCUUCACACCUACCACUUCACAUGCUGAAAAUGCUGCUCCCUCUCCCAGCUCCUCCUACUCCUUGGUCAGACCUCCCCUUACCUAUCACCGCCUCAGAGAAGCCUUCCUGAACACUUGGUCGGAAGUAGAUUCUUUACGCUGUAUCUUCUCCAGGGCAUCCUCUUUUUCUGUUGCAGUACCACGAUAACUCACAAUUAUAUAUAUAUAUGUGUGUUUUCUUGUAUAUUCUCUUUCACCCUCACGAGCUUUCUAAAUCCCCUAAGGGUCAUAGGCUGUCUGAUCAGAACUGUAUAACCAGUUUUUGGAAUAGUACUUGGCAAAAAGUAAACAAGGAAUAAAUGUUGAACAGAUAAGUUAAAUUCAGAUACUGUAUCUCGAUCCCCAGUUUACUACUUUCUGGAUUCUUCUUUCAUAUCUUGUAGCUUUUUCAAGACUUAGUCUGUGUUCUUUUUCUCUUGUGAACUCUCAGUAACAGCUGAUUUGUUUUAGGAUUCCUCUUCCCAUAAUGCGAGAGCCACUGAGUGUAAUGGAAUCUUCACGGUUCCUCGAGUUUUAUCCCCCUAAAAAAAGAGAAAUAGACUAAUCCUGUAAUUCUUACAGUCUGUGUUUUCUCAUCUGUUGUACUUGAUUUUAUUCUGAGAUGGGGUCCCCCUGGGCUUUGACUUCUGAGUCUGGAGUUGUCCACAUGGUGCUCCCUCCCCUCCCACCAAAACCUUCCCUCCAACUGGGGAAAGGUGUACGAUUCCCUCUUCAGAAAAGUCUCUUCCUCCUGUCCAGAGACAGACUCCUCCAAGCAGAGGUUUAAAUUCCCUGGAAUUUCAAGUAGGCGAUUUGCAUUUCUGAGAACCUUUAGACUAGAUGUCAGUCAUUUCUUUGGACUUCAAGCCCAACACAAGAGUAAUCCCUCGGGGGCAUUUCUUUACCUAGGCAAAAUAGCUGUUAUUACUCUGUCCCGAGAGUUGUGCUAGGGUUUGGAGGACUUUUGUGACAUGUGGCUUUAUUCUGUAUUCAUUGAAAGAUUUUGAUUGACUGAUGGUUAUGUAACUGUUAGAAUUGCCCUAGCUGCCUACAAAAUGCUGUGACUUUCUCUCCUUUUAACUGGUAUUGGGUAAUAGUUAAGAGACUAAACAUGAAGGUCAGAAAAACUCAAAGCUCUAAGGUCUUGGUUUUCUCACCCAUUUUGUUUUUCCUCUACAAAAAGGGGCUGUCACUUUACAGACUUGUAAUAAUCGUUAUAUAGCAUCUAUAGAGCAACUACAAUAUGCUAGGCACCCUUUGGGAUAGGUACGAUUGUCCUUGUUUUACUGUGGAGGACAUGGAGGCACAGAGAGGUUAGAUAUUCUGGAGAAAGAUUCAAAUCUGUGUGAACACAUCUGCUAAGUGAUCCACUAUUUUUUUGUGGCUUCUUGUGAUGGAGGGGUGAGCAUGAUUCAAGGUCUCCUCCUCCAGACUGCUGUGUGCUCUGAGAGGCAGAGGCUGGCCUAUAUGAACUGUACCAACAAGCUUCCUUGCUCUCUGGCUUCCUAUUGGAUCUGGCCAGGGGGGAGCAUCCAAAGGACAUCAGAGGGCAGGAAAAGACAUGGAGAGACCGUCUGCCUGUGACCAUCCUGGACAACGCCUGCUCGUCUCUUAGCAUCUCUGCUCAGUCCUGCUUCCUUGGUGAAGUCUUCCACAACUGCCAAGGUGGAGAGUUCGGAGCCUUGAUCCACGCUGAAUCAGUUUGACUUCUGGAGGGACCGGAGACUGAAUAAAGGCAGUCACGUGGGUGCUCUAUGCUGCUGUGACCAAUCUCUAAUAGAAACCAUGGACGCCAAGGCUGAGUUUCUUUCCAGGAACAGGCUGACCACAGGCGGGAAAUACACCUACAAGGUAUCCAUCACAGCUGACGGAAGAAUGGAACAAUAAAAGACCCUGGAUUCUGUCAUGCCUGAAGGCUUACUUUUCCAAACCUCCUCCUUACUCCCUAUUUUCCCUAUAUAACUACCUCAAGAUUCUGUAAUUGUUGAAGAUGGGUUUUUUGAAACUUUAGUCACCCAUCUUCUGAUUUUGCCUGCUAAUCCAGUUAAAGCUUCCUUUCUUGAUCCCUCACUUGUGGUGAUUUAUUGGCUCAGAUCCCGAUGAGCAGAGCCCAUUGCUCAGUAACACAUAUGACUCCAAUGGGAAAGGAAAACUAAAAGCUUAUUCCUGGUCUCCCCUGGACUCCACCCUGUGGACUUUCUACCUUUGCUCAUUUUCAUCUGUAGCCUUUCACUAUAAUAAACGGUAACCAUGAGUAUAACAUCUUUUCUGCUUUAUAUGAGUCCUUAUAGAGAAUCAUUGAAUCUGAGGGUGGUCUUGAGGACCCCUGUCACAGCUGCUUAGAAAAGGAAUGGACUUUGAGAUUAUUUGCAUGGGUUUAAGACUGCUGUGUGGAUCUUUUUUUUGUUUUUUGAGGAAGAUUAGCCCUGAGCUAACAUCUGCUGCCAAUCCUCCUCUUUUUGCUGAGGAAGACUGGUCCUGAGCUAACAUCCGUGCCCAUCUUCCUCUACUUUAUAUGUGGGACACCUACCACAGCAUGGCUUGCCAAGCAGUGCCAUGUCUGCACCCGGGAUCUGAACCGGCAAACCUCGGCCGCGGAAGCAGAACGUGCGAACUUAACCACUGCGCCACUACAAUGCCCCAGGUGCUGUGUGGAUCUUGAUCAAGUUAGUCCAUCAAAUUGCCCCUCUAUUUCUGCAUAAUUAAAACUAGCGUAAUAACAUCUAUGUUACAGUAUUGGUGUGCGUAUUAAAUGAGAUAAUGUAAGAAAUGUGCCUGGCAUGUGUUUAGUUAAAGGUAGCUAUUAUUAUCACGGUGGGGUAAGGGGUGUAGGAACACAAAGAUUGUUAAGACAUAUUCUCCACUGGCUAGUACUUUAGUCGGGGGGAAAUCUUUGUCAUGAGGACUGUGGGAAAAUUAGGUUAUUUCCCACUUGGUCCUCUCUGUGUAGGUGGAUACCUGGUUGAGUCAGCCGCACAAACUAUUCCUCCUACUCAUAGGCACUGCUGUCCUGGGGUAGAGAUGGGACAGGCAGAGAAGGAAAGGAUCUUCUGCCUGGGUCUAAAGCUAUGUCUGAGAUUCAUGCACAUGCACUUAGCCUGUAUGUGCCUCUUUUAUCACGUCCAUACUAGGAAAUGGACCCUCAACAGGGUACAAUUGGUCUUUUGUAACUCUUUAAUAUUCAAGACAGCCCGCAAAGUUCCUUUUAACCUUAUUUUGCUUGAAUAACAACACUGGAGGGUCAGGGGACACCAUGAGAUUGGCCUGUGCUUCUCCUCCUUUCCAGUCUCUCCCCUCCCACGCACACACUGGGCCAAGCCAAGCCCUUCCUAGGAAGUGGCACGGAGUCGUCUGUUUCCUCAAACCCCUGAUGUUAGGACAAUAAUCUCCAAACAUCUGGGUCAAGCCAGGUUAUUCUUCACGUAAGGAUUUCAAUUAAAACUAGAACACAAAUGCAAUCUCAAAUUUACCAUAAGUUGUAUUCUCUAAAUCAGUUGUUUCAAACUGAGAAUUCAUUUUCAUGAAAACCAUGUCAUAUAAUAGUAAUAAAAAAACCUUUGUUUUGUUAAUUUUGUGUUUGACAAAUAGUCUUUCACUAUUGCUGCUACAGCUGAACUUGGCUUUUAUGUACAACACUGUGUCCCCUGAUGUCGCUCUAGGACUCCCUUUCAUCUCCUGCUUCAUCUUUGGGGACACAGUAAGGAGACACCGUCCAAUUCGAACUUGCUAGUGGGAGCUCUCAUGCCUGUAGCAGGGCAGGGGGUGGGUGUGGGGAGAGCUCCAGGGGAUUAUAAUAGAGGAGCAUAUAUCUGUUAGGAUGCUGUCGGAAUUCCUAAGUAAUAAGAAAUUUCGUUAACUCACAUAGCAAUAAAUCUCGGGAAGGGCUAUUCCAGUGGCUUAACUGUUUUAACAAGGACCAAGAUGCUCAGUUUUUAUGCUCUGCUGCUCCGAGUAUUGACUUCAUUUCCAAGCUGGUAGCAAGACAAAGGAAAAAUUUCCCAGAAUUCCCACAGCAAACUUCCCCUCAAGUCUCAAUGACCAGAAUUUGGUCAUGAGUCCAUGUCUAAACCAAGCAGUAGCAAAGAACAUGGAAUUACCAUAAUUUAUAAUCUGAUAGAUAAUGGCUGCUGGGGAGUCAAUCCCAAUGUCCAUUUUAGGCCAGCUGCUGGUGUAAGCGGUGAUAAUGUCCCAUCUGAGACUUUCUCCUGAGGCCUCAGGAUUGGCCCACUUGCUUCCUCUUCUGAUGGUUUUACAUCUUUUACUUGCUCAGUACUGCACAGAAAUGUACAGAACCAAAACCAAAAGUCUAAAAGCUUUUCCCUACUUACCUGAUCCUGAGGCACUUCGGGGAUUUUUAAUUUUAAUUUUUCACUAUUUUUAUUUUGUUUUGAGGCUACUAACAAUGAAAAACAAAUAGUUAGUUAACCCCUUCUCCCCCCGCCCCACCCAUUUUCUCUUGUAUUCUCACUUCCUUCUUUUUACUUAAGUUGAGUAGGGGAGUUUUAUGGUGAAGCUUUGGGUAAAGAAAGGGCUGUGGUGAGGCUCAUUUGCAUUUAGAGGAGAGUCAGACCCAGGCAUUCCCCUGGGCAUUUCAGAGCCAGGCAUCCUGUAUGACUGUGGGGGGUAUUGUGAUAAGGAACUGUAACGGGGACUUAGUUCACGGUAGAUGUGGGUCAGGAGCAAGGAGGAAAGUAUUGGUCAUGUAUGCCACCUCCCUACUCUUUCCUGUUGUUCCCAUUAGUUUCUGAAUAGCGAAGCCUGCUCUGGGGCCGUGUAAGGAGCAGAGCGGAGUUUCAGCCUCACUGAGGUGGAGGUAAAAGGAAUAGGCAGGGAAUUCUCAAGCAAAGGAAGCUGAAAGGAAGGAGUUCCUGGGACAGAAGUCAGAGGCUGCUGGAUGAGAAGCCAAACUUCUUUUCAACAGGCUCCACUGAGGUCACUGGGAAACUGAAAAGCAACUUGCUUCUUCUUCAGAAUGAAGACGUGUACUGACCCAGUUUAAAGCCACCUACCCUGAUUUUUCCAUUCGUAUCCAGAUUCAUAUCCAUGUCAGUUCCCCACAAAUCCACACCCAUGCUCCCAGCACAAAGCAAUGCGAUCGCAUAUAUUUGCAAAUUCACACCUGCAGUAGAGCUCCCCUUCCAUUCACACCCUAUUAACCACAUAAAGUGCACAUUUUAUGGCCACAGAUGCUUAGAAAAGACAAAAUCCUUUAGUCUGUCUGGAUUCAAAAGUAAUCUGAAAAAUUAAUCUUUAGCCAAUACCUGGAAACAAUGUGGGAAAGUCCUCGCAUGUACACGAAGUCGUGGAUUAUUGAAGUUUUCACCCAGAAAGAAAGAGAAAAAACUUCUAAAUCUAAUGAUGUGUGACCUCGGAUGGGAAACCUAAUUUUAUAUGUUAAUAUUUUCAGUGUAAACAUACUGCUAAUUGUUUUGUUUUGUUUUGUUUUUUUGAGGAAGAUUAGCCCUGAACUAACAUCUGCUGCCAAUCCUCCUCUUUUUUGCUGAGGAAGACUGGCUCUGAGCUAACAUCUGUGCCCAUCUUCCUCUACUUUAUAUGUGUGGUGCCUACCACAGCAUGGCCUGACAAGCAGUGCAUAGGUCUGCACCUGGGAUCCGAACCGGCAAACCCCAGGCCGCCGAAGUAUAACGUGCGAACUUAACCGCUGUUCCACCGGGCCAGCCCCCAUACUGCUAAUUGUUGAACAGCUGUCUCUUUAAAGGAGAGAAAAAGCUGGGUUUAUGCUAACUGUUCCCUAAAAUCAAGAGUCCGGUCUACAUACAACCAACGAGAAGAAGGAGUGUGGUUAAGUGGAAAGAGGGAACCUAACUCACCAUCAGAAGAACUGAGGGUCAGUGAUACAAAACCUGGCUUUCCCUGUUAUUUAUUAUAAUUUUGGGCAAGAGCUUUUAAAAGUCCUGAAGAACACAUGUUCUGGAACAUCAAGUUUGUUUUCUGCAACAGAAGCUGAAACUGAAUUCUGUUGUGGAUGGGGAGAGAAGGUUACUUUGUAUUUCCCUGUUAGAGCUCUGUAGACCAUUGGAAAGUUAGCAGGGAGAAGAGAGGGGAAGGAGAGGGGAAAGAAACAGGUGUGGAAAGUGUAAUUUGAUUUUUUUCUGAGAUGUGUGGAUGGAGAGAGAGGAAGGGAAAGAAAGACAGUGCUGACAGGUAAUGGUGUAAUGCAGGAGUCUCCCUGCCUUUCCUGUCCCCACAGGGGAUUCUCUCUCAUAGCUACAGCCUUGACAGCAAAGCUACUCAACAUCCAUUCCCCCCUCUUCCUUCCUAACAGAUUCUUGAUUAUGCUCAGAUAACCAUCCUUUCCCUUUUCUAAUUUCAGGAGAAGACAACCACACCCUCACUUCUGGAGGUAGAUCGUCAUUAGUUUAAGCCAAUCAACAGAUGACAUUCCUCUGGCUACAAUUGGUCCAGGGGUAAGCAUGGUGACCUAAGUUUGCCCAAACAGAUUGAAGGGAGGGACUUAUAUUCCAUGCUUGGUGAGAAGUUAUCCUUUUCUAUUGCCAGACUUAAAAAGGAAGCCUAUACUCCCAAUUGCCCUUGGCAGUCAUCUUUCAACUACAAGGGGAACCAGCCAUAGGAUGAACCCUAUGCCAAGAGGAACAGACACCUGAGACCUUGAUUAUGUCGUUGAGCUCCACCUGGAGCCUACAUUAGGAGGACUUCCUGUUAUAUAGAGUGUUAUGGACUGAACUGUGUUCACUCCAAAUUUGUAGGUUGAAGUCCUGAUCCCUAGUACUUUAGAAUGUCACUGUAUUUGGAGAUAAUGAAGGUUAAAUGAAGUCCUAAGGGUGGGCCCUAAUCCAAUAUGACUUCUGUCCUUGUAAGAAGAAAGAGAGACACUAGGGAUACAUGAGCACAGAUGAAAGGCCACGUGAGGACGCAGCAAGAAGAUGACCAUCUGCAAGCCCAGGAGAGAGGCCUCAGGAGAAACCAGCCCUGCUGACACCUUGAUCUUGGACUUCCAGCCUCCAGAGCUGUCCUUUAAAAUCCUAGAGGAGCUGCUCUUAGAACUUAUUUGAAGCGAGUGGAUCCGAGAAGCCCAGGGAUGGACUGUGGACCACCCAGACCCCCAAAGGCAGGACGGAAGCUCCGAGUCCCCCAGCUGCUGAGAAUGGUGUCAGCCAACAGUUCUCUGCCGAGCCUUUCUCCAGGACCCGGCCUUGGUUGAAGAGUGCCGCCUUGCCGGAGGCCUCCCCGGUCCCAGGUGUAGCUCAUACCCAAUGUCUGGUUGUUGUGGGGAUAUAAAAUCCUGAUCCUCUUGCCCAGUUUGGAGUAACUCUGGAGUGUCAUCCUGUCCCUAGAGUUCCCUUUAGGAUUAGCUGAGGCCUUUGUUGUUACUGUGUCACUGUUCAACUUUUCUCUCUGCUCAGUUUUACUUCUUUUCCACCCCCAGAGGUUUUGUCGUUGAGAGUGCUCCGCACUAAACAUUCUGCACUCAAUCUCUGUCACAGUUUGCUUUUCAGGGAACUCAGCCAUCUGAAGGCAUCUUUCCAAACCCGGCCUAGUCCCCACGGAGCCCG